AAAGCCCCCCUUCUUCUUGUUUCUUGCUCGUGAAAACCAGAAGCUAAGCAGAAGCCGAACCGAAUACGGCAGAGACAGAGCAGCUCGCCGAACCGCCGUCUGCUCCACCGCCCGCCGCUUUCCCGCCGUUCACGCGUGCGCCGCCCCACCGAGCUGCCGUCCGUCCCUCUCCUCACGCCAGUCCAGCGCUGUCCAGCUUCCAUCUGCCUCUGUCCGACCUCGUUCCAGCCUCCGUGAGCGGCUGAGCAGACCACCGGAGCCGCCGUGUAGCCUCGCCGGACCGCCGCCUACCUUCCCGACCCCUUGCCACCCCCAACCCUCUCUCUUUCUCUCUGUUUUGCAGCCGAACCAGCAAACCUAAGACUUGGUUUCCAACGGCUUUGGGCCCGCUUUUGAGCCGUUUCCGGGCCUCAAACCCGAGCCAUGCUUUGGAGUUUAUUGUUCAUCGCGUUGCCCCCGUCGGAUUGAUCCGAUUUGCGCGCGAUUCCGGUGAGUAAUCUCACUAAUCUUUGCUUAUUUGGCUAAUUAUGGUUAUUUAGUUUUAUUUAAUUAAGGUUAAGUGAUUAGAUUAGUGUUUAUUAGUUAAUUGUGAUGCAAAUUAGACAAAUUGAAUGUGUAUUUAGCAAGUAGACAUGGUCUACUAUUUAUUGAUGGUAGUUUGGGAUUUUUCCGACCCUUUAUCAGGCUUCAAUUUGACAAUUCGUGCUUAAGUGGAAUUUUUGAUAUUUAAAUAUUAUUUUUCGGAAUUAAAUUAAAUAAUUAUUUAUUUUUCGAAAAUUCAACUGGGAUGGCUAGUGAUCGGAAUAUUAUGUUGAUGAUCGUGGUGAAGUCCGUUUAUUUAAUCGGGCUUUAUUUUGAGCUAAAUUGAUUUUUUAAUAUUAAUUAUUUAAUUUUCGAAAUUAGUUAAUUAUUUAUUUAUUUUUCGGAAAUUAAGGUUGAGAUGACCAGUGACUGAAAUUUUAUGCUGAUGAUCGUGCUGCAGCCCCUUUAUUUAAUUGGGCUUUAUUUUGAGCUAAAUUGAAUUUUUAAUAUUUAUUAAUUAAUUUUCGAAAUUAAUUUAAUUAUUUAUUUAUUUAUUUUCGGAAAUUAAGGCUGAGAUAGCCAACGACCGAAAUUCCGUGCUGAUUGUCGUGGUAUAGUCCGUUUAUUUAAUUGAGAUUGAUUUUGUGCUAAAUCAAUUUAUGAGUGAUUUUAGGAUUUAUUUCUAAAUUAUUGGAUUUUGGUUAUUAAUUGGGAAAUAACCAGGUGUCGGUUGACAGCACCAAAAGUGUUUUGGUGGGCUAUAGAGAAUUGUGAGAAUUAUGAAAAAGGAAAUUAUAAUAUUUUGGCUAAGGCCAAUCGUGUACCCACACAACUAUUUUAUCGGGUAUGAUAAAAAUAAUGGGAAUAUUAGACGAUGGAUAUGGUAUACUAUAUCGGCCUUCGGGCGAUAUGCCAGCUUUGAGUGAGCAGUAUACCGGUAUACUAUAUCGACCUACGGGCGAUAUGUCAGCUUUGGAUGAGCAGUAUAUCUUAUUAUUAGCUUUGGGCGAGCAAUAUAUUAUCAGCUUUUGGUGAGCAUAUGGUAUACUAUAUUGGCCUUCGGGCGAUAUGUCAAUUUUGGGUGAGCAGUAUACCAAUAUACAAUAUUAGGCUUCGGGCGAUAUGUUAGCUUUGGGUGAGCAGUAUACCUUAUUAUCAGCUUUAGGCGAGCAAUUAUCAGCUUUGGGUGAGCAUAUGAUAUACUAUAACGGCCUUCAAGCAAUAUGUCAACUUUGGGUGAGCAGUAUAUCGGUAUACUAUAUCGGCCUUCAGGCGAUAUGCCAGCUUUGGGUGAGCAGUAUAUCUUAUUAUCAACUUUGGGUGAGCCAUGCUAUCUAUUUAUCAGCUUUGGGUGAGCAUUCCUAAUUUGAUAGGACUUUAUAGAUAGUAUUGAAUAUGCUGACCAAGCAUGGGUCGUGAUGUCAUGUAAUCGACUAGGUCGAUUGAUCAUUGCUUUGAUAUGAUGCUGUGAAUUGAUUGAUUGGAUGGAAAUGACUGUGAGGGUCUUGUUGGCGUGUAACCGACUAGGCCGAUUUGAUCGAUACUUCAAUCUGUGAUCUAAUUGCUUGGGUGUCUAUUUGAUCUGUGCUAACAUGUAGGUGGGAUCUGAGGCCAAGGUAAGUCCUCCGACUCGUGCUGUGCUUAGGCAACCGAGUAGUGUAUUGGUUCCCUAAUUGAGUCUUAGUGGGGUAAAACUCGCUGAGACGUAGUCUCAUCCCGGUUUGGGGAAAACAUUUCAGGAUCCCGUUGAGGAGCUAAGGAGGAGGAAUCGGAGAAGGAGAGCUCUAAAGUAAAACUAGAGGAAAAGAAUUUUUGGAAAAAAGAAGAUAAUGGAGUAUAACUUGGAUGGACUGAGAUUUUAUCUUCUUUUGAGAACUCCCUUUUGAUGUGAAUAGUUAUGGAGUACUUUGAUUUGUAUUUUGUAUAAAAGUUUGGUUAUAAGUUUCAAUAUGAAAAAUAUGGCAUUGCUUUUCUAUCCCAUACUAUGUAUGGUUUGGGGAUUAUAACUGCUUCCGCAUAUGCUUAAUAAAAGAAAGGGUCGGCGAUAUAUAGUUCUAGGAUAUCGCAUUAUAAAAUCGACCAAGUGAGAAGAAUGUGUGCAUGCCCGAGGAUCGGGGCGUGACAUACCCCAAGGGUAUUCUUUGUAAAACCCUAAUUAAUCAAUCAAAAAAUUCAAUAUUCUCA
This 2706-nucleotide long non-coding RNA is filed under the name Eucalyptus grandis. RNAcentral's name for it is "long non-coding RNA (EGRA_LNC000679)". Lineage: Eukaryota; Viridiplantae; Streptophyta; Magnoliopsida; Myrtales; Myrtaceae. The record is from RNAcentral.